Molecule: long non-coding RNA, 302 nt
Filed under: Elaeis guineensis (African oil palm)
Lineage: Eukaryota; Viridiplantae; Streptophyta; Magnoliopsida; Arecales; Arecaceae
Description: long non-coding RNA (EGUI_LNC003482)
Source: RNAcentral
UCUGCUCUAAAGAACAAAGACUAAAAAGGAGGAAGCAUCGAGGCAAUGGCUCCUGAGAGGAGGGAAGUGCCGCCGAAAAGAGGGUCCAUCAAACGCCGAAUAUUCACUCCUGUGUGUAGAAGGUUGGGGCAGAUGUUUGCUUCCAUCUGGAACUACUUCCGUUAGUCCUCCCUCUAUGAGUAACAAUAAACUUUCAUAUGGAGUCUAAGAUGUUGUAUCUUUAUUGUACAAUGGUUUUCUACAGGGUGUUGUUUAUCUUAUUCCAUUCUUGUUAGAGUGUAAUGGCUUGUGCUCUUUCCUUG